This 497-nucleotide ribosomal RNA is filed under the name uncultured bacterium. RNAcentral's name for it is "partial 16S ribosomal RNA". It matches the Rfam family "Bacterial small subunit ribosomal RNA", at positions 28 to 507 of the family's 1533-position model. The record is from RNAcentral.
GACGAACGCUGGCGGCGUGCCUAAUACAUGCAAGUAGAACGCUGAAGAGAGGAGCUUACUCUUCUUGGAUGAGUUGCGAACGGGUGAGUAACGCGUAGGUAACCUGCCUUGUAGCGGGGGAUAACUAUUGGAAACGAUAGCUAAUACCGCAUAACAAUGGAUGACACAUGUCAUUUAUUUGAAAGGGGCAAUUGCUCCACUACAAGAUGGACCUGCGUUGUAUUAGCUAGUAGGUGAGGUAAUGGCUCACCUAGGCGACGAUACAUAGCCGACCUGAGAGGGUGAUCGGCCACACUGGGCCUGAGACACGGCCCAGACUCCUACGGGAGGCAGCAGUAGGGAAUCUUCGGCAAUGGGGGCAACCCUGACCGAGCAACGCUGCGUGAGUGAAGAAGGUUUUCGGAUCGUAAAGCUCUGUUGUAAGUCAAGAACGGGUGUGAGAGUGGAAAGUUCACACUGUGACGGUAGCUUACCAGAAAGGGACGGCUAACUACGUG